AAAGCGCCAGCGGUUGUGCUCCCAGGGAUCUGAUUGCAAUUCGUUUUAUCUCAGAUUGGUCCCUGAUCUUCUUUCGUCCGUAUCUUUUUGCUCCGGACUCCGAUUGGGGUGAUUCCAAAGCCCACGUCUUCGUCUCGUCGAUCCCGUCAUGAUGGUAUCAUUUUCACAGGGUGGUGACACAGUGAAAAUCACCAUUUUGCCCUUGACUCCAAUGAGCCCCCUUCGAGAGAGAUCUGUUCCGGCGAUCCUUUCUCCGGACUCUCCGCACCUCUUCCGGGAGUAUUCUUCGAUCCCAGGCAAGCCGACCAUCUGAUAUAUGCCCUAAAGCAUUGCUCUGUGUUCUUCGUGCAUGAUUACAUUAAUAUGCUUGCGAUUGCAUGCGUAGUAGUGGACUGUAUGAGAUACUGACGAACCCUUGCUCACAUUUUCUUCGAUGAUGGCACCACACCCGAGUCUGAGCUUCUUUCGGCCAUCCGGGGUGGGUGCCAACUUUAUAUUUCUCUUGUCAGUCGUUGACUCGUGUUCUGAGCUGCUUCUCGACCGUCGCGGGUAGGUGUUGAAUUUCUUUCCGUGGCAGUGACCCUAUGCUCUGAGCUGAUCUUCGGUCUUCUUAGGGAACUGCCACAUUCUUCUUAUCAACACCGCCUCAUGCUGUGAGCUGCUUUCCAGCCGUCUUGAGUCGGGGUUGAGUUAUUCUGGUAACGUCCCACAUCUAUGUUGUAAAGACCGUUCUGGUGGCUACCGAUUUAAUUGUCGGUUUUAUGCGAGGGUUUCGAGGGUCUACUUUAAAGUCAGAUCUUGUAAAGUAAUAACCUGUUAUUUACAUAGUGUCUUAUUAAUGACUCAUAAUAUAGAGAUAGGUUGUGAUGUUUCUUCCGUUGUUAUUUCAUGCCUAAUCAUCAUCAUGUUAAGUCAUUCUUGACAACACCCAUGAUUGAUAAAUAUGUUGGUUAAACCAAACCUAACGAGUUGAUCUCUGAGUCACCUGUCUAGGCUUAUCCGUGCAACCACAUUUGCCGAUAUGGGACUACCGUGACUUGAGUUGUUCGCGUGAUUGCUCUCACCGGUACCUCCAAAGAUGGAGGGUUAUGCACGCGCGCUGACCCUGAUCAGGUAGGCGGUGAUAACCCUGUGAGCCCAGUUAAGUUGAGUUGGGCCCGUCCCCGGUUGGGACAGUUUUGUUUGGCCACGAUGGUGGCAGGUGUCAUGAGGACACAACUGUCGUGAGGACACACGACCACCUAGGGCAAGACUCCAGAGGAGAGUGGUUGCCGGUGGUACGAUGAGAGGGUCACGGUUCAGGCAAGUUUCGUUGGAGUAAUAUUGGUCCACCCGAAUGGGAUCACGAGGUCAGUACUCCAGAGUGUGGGUAAAGUGUGCAACCUCUGCUGAGUGUCAAAUCUAUUCGAAUAGCCGAGCCCACGGUAUUGGACAGCCCUACGAGACCUCAGUAGGUGAUCAACCAUAAGAGUGAUGAUAACGAUGGAAGAACUCAUCUUGUGCAGACAUCGGAAGAUGUCCGGUAUAUGACAUGUUAGCCACGGAAUGGCUAUGAGAUGAGUGGUCGGAUGACCACAUGUGUAGACACCAGAAGAUGUCCGGUAUUGGACAUGUUAGCCAUGGGAUGGCUAUGAGAUGAGUGGUUGGAUGACCACAUGAGUUGGAUUGGAUCAGAUUCAGACUGGAUCAUGAGAAUAGUCGGAGUAUAAUUCAUUUACCUAAUGUGCUUUACUUUACCGCAUUUACUUUAGAAGUUAUUUUGCUAGAUGACCCUGUUAUACCUUGAUAAUUAACAUUGCUCGAUAGAUAUGCUAUGCCAUGAUGAUUUAUAUUGUUCUAAUAACAAAUACAUGCUUGAAUGCCAUGGGUUGCUGUGCUUAGUGUAUAUGUUAGUUUGGUUUGCUUGUGAGUACAUUCAAAAGUACUCAGCGGCUUUUAACGUGGCCAGGUUCACAUAAGGAUGCGUCGUAUGCAAGGAACUGGAGCGUUCGCAGGCUAGGAGCGUAACCGAGUCAGAUCCCUGUGGAUUGGAGCUGCAUCGAGACCAUGUUGCCUUAGAUAGAGCUUUUCCG
Molecule: long non-coding RNA, 2072 nt
Filed under: Hordeum vulgare
Lineage: Eukaryota; Viridiplantae; Streptophyta; Magnoliopsida; Poales; Poaceae
Description: long non-coding RNA (HVUL_LNC009296)
Source: RNAcentral